This 255-nucleotide ribosomal RNA is filed under the name uncultured prokaryote. Its description in RNAcentral is "partial 16S ribosomal RNA". It matches the Rfam family "Bacterial small subunit ribosomal RNA", at positions 523 to 777 of the family's 1533-position model. The record is from RNAcentral.
AUACAGAGGGUGCGAGCGUUAAUCGGAAUUACUGGGCGUAAAGCGCACGUAGGUGGCGACGUAAGUCGGGUGUGAAAGCCCCGGGCUCAACCUGGGAAUUGCAUUCGAGACUGCAUUGCUGGAGUACGGAAGAGGAAGGCGGAAUUCCCGGUGUAGCGGUGAAAUGCGUAGAUAUCGGGAGGAACAUCAGUGGCGAAGGCGGCCUUCUGGUCCAGUACUGACACUCAAGUGCGAAAGCGUGGGGAGCAAACAGGA